AAGUCGUAACAAGGUUUCCGUAGGUGAACCUGCGGAAGGAUCAUUAGCGAAGCUCGGAAUGCGUGUUCGGUCUGAUGCUGCCCGGCAACGGGAUGUGCUCGUCUGGAUGCGUGUCCCUUCUCUAUUCCACCCCUUUGUGAACCAAGUGUGCGAGCCGAUGAGAGAUCGGAGGCUCGCAUGCAACCCUUAACAUACCCCAAUGAAGUAUCAGAAUGUACCUUGCGUUAACUCGCACAAAUACAACUUUCAACAACGGAUCUCUUGGCUCUC
RNAcentral lists this unclassified non-coding RNA (270 nucleotides) under air metagenome. Its description in RNAcentral is "partial contains small subunit ribosomal RNA, internal transcribed spacer 1, and 5.8S ribosomal RNA". The stretch from base 1 to 46 matches the Rfam family "Eukaryotic small subunit ribosomal RNA", at positions 1786 to 1831 of the family's 1831-position model. The record is from RNAcentral.